RNAcentral lists this long non-coding RNA (508 nucleotides) under Buteo japonicus. RNAcentral's name for it is "lncRNA (ENSBJAG00000007641.1)". The record is from RNAcentral. Lineage: Eukaryota; Metazoa; Chordata; Aves; Accipitriformes; Accipitridae.
GAAUGAGAUGUGGCUACCUCUGAGGGAAAACACACUGAAACCCCGAGGAGAUACCUGGAGGAAUGCUAGACCAGUGAGCUAACAGAGACAUCCUCUUGAACCUUAUCCUCUAGCCAUUCAAAUGUCAGCUUUGGAUACAAUGAUGGCUGCUGCCUAAAACAAGCAGGUUUUCUGAAACCUUCUGAGCAACGUGUCACCUUCAUCCAACAAAAGGAAAGGCAAAGUGUCUGGACCACACCGACUCCAUCUCAUUCAUCCCCCUCUGCACCGCGGCACCUAGCCCUGUUCAGCUGUUUGGGUGUUUCAGAACGCCUGGAUAGAGGUAAGGAGAUGUUUUGGGGGAAUAUGGAAACUUGAAACACCUGCCUUCAUGGCUGGGUCUCCUGUUGCUGGCUGUCUGGCCAGGCCUUUCGUGGUGUGAUGGGUACAUCGUGUGGCAGAGAGCAGAAGUGCAAUUUUUGUUUGACCUUUUUCUUGGGCUAAAUUCUGCCACUCUGGCCAGCUGAGC